This is a ribosomal RNA of Toxoplasma gondii ME49, 731 nucleotides long. The record is from RefSeq and is a predicted model, not a curated record. NCBI's taxonomy places the organism in Eukaryota, Apicomplexa, Conoidasida, Eucoccidiorida, Sarcocystidae.
UCAUAUGCUUGUCUUAAAGAUUAAGCCAUGCAUGUCUAAGUAUAAGCUUUUAUACGGCUAAACUGCGAAUGGCUCAUUAAAACAGUUAUAGUUUAUUUGAUGGUCUUUACUACAUGGAUAACCGUGGUAAUUCUAUGGCUAAUACAUGCGCACAUGCCUCUUCCCCUGGAAGGGCAGUGUUUAUUAGAUACAGAACCAACCCACCUUCCGGUGGUCCUCGAGGUGAUUCAUAGUAACCGAACGGAUCGCGUUGACUUCGGUCUGCGACGGAUCAUUCAAGUUUCUGACCUAUCAGCUUUCGACGGUACUGUAUUGGACUACCGUGGCAGUGACGGGUAACGGGGAAUUAGGGUUCGAUUCCGGAGAGGGAGCCUGAGAAACGGCUACCACAUCUAAGGAAGGCAGCAGGCGCGCAAAUUACCCAAUCCUGAUUCAGGGAGGUAGUGACAAGAAAUAACAACACUGGAAAUUUCAUUUCUAGUGAUUGGAAUGAUAGGAAUCCAAACCCCUUUCAGAGUAACAAUUGGAGGGCAAGUCUGGUGCCAGCAGCCGCGGUAAUUCCAGCUCCAAUAGCGUAUAUUAAAGUUGUUGCAGUUAAAAAGCUCGUAGUUGGAUUUCUGCUGGAAGCAGCCAGUCCGCCCUCAGGGGUGUGCACUUGGUGAAUUCUAGCAUCCUUCUGGAUUUCUCCACACUUCAUUGUGUGGAGUUUUUUCCAGGACUUUUACUUUGAG